RNAcentral lists this ribosomal RNA (542 nucleotides) under uncultured archaeon. RNAcentral's name for it is "bacterial SSU rRNA". It matches the Rfam family "Archaeal small subunit ribosomal RNA", at positions 457 to 997 of the family's 1478-position model. The record is from RNAcentral.
GGCAGCCGCCGCGGUAAUACCGGCGGCUCGAGUGGUGGCCACUUUAUUGGGCUUAAAGCGUUCGUAGCUGGGUUGUUAAGUCUCUUGGGAAAUCCGGCAGCUUAACUGUCGGGCGUCUAAGGGAUACUGGUAAUCUUGGAACCGGGAGAGGUGAGGGGUACUUCGGGGGUAGGAGUGAAAUCCUGUAAUCCUCGAGGGACCACCUGUGGCGAAGGCGCCUCACCAGAACGGCUUCGACAGUGAGGGACGAAAGCUGGGGGAGCAAACCGGAUUAGAUACCCGGGUAGUCCCAGCCGUAAACGAUGCGCGUUAGGUGUAUCGGUGACCACGAGUCACCGAGGUGCCGAAGGGAAACCGUGAAACGUGCCGCCUGGGAAGUACGGUCGCAAGGCUGAAACUUAAAGGAAUUGGCGGGGAGCACCACAACAGGUGGAGCCUGCGGUUUAAUUUGGACUCAACGCCGGAAAUCUCACCGGAUAAGACAGCUGAAUGAUUGCCGGGCUGAAGACUCUGCAUGACUAGCUGAGAGGAGUGGUGCAUGG